Molecule: ribosomal RNA, 138 nt
Filed under: uncultured eukaryote
Lineage: Eukaryota
Description: partial 18S ribosomal RNA
Rfam family: Eukaryotic small subunit ribosomal RNA
Source: RNAcentral
UGGUGGAGUGAUUUGUCUGGUUAAUUCCGAUAACGAACGAGACCUUAACCUGCUAAAUAGCCAGGCCGGCUUUUGCUGGUCGCUGGCUUCUUAGAGGGACUGUCAGUGUCUAACUGACGGAAGUUUGAGGCAAUAACA